Molecule: ribosomal RNA, 568 nt
Filed under: Nostoc sp. LCRSM-2422
Lineage: Bacteria; Bacillati; Cyanobacteriota; Cyanophyceae; Nostocales; Nostocaceae
Description: bacterial SSU rRNA
Rfam family: Bacterial small subunit ribosomal RNA
Source: RNAcentral
GACGGGGAGUAACGCGUGAGAAUCUGGCUUCAGGUCGGGGAUAACUACUGGAAACGGUGGCUAAUACCGGAUGUGCCGAGAGGUGAAAGGCUUGCUGCCUGAAGAUGAGCUCGCGUCUGAUUAGCUAGUUGGUGUGGUAAGAGCGCACCAAGGCACGAUCAGUAGCUGGUCUGAGAGGAUGAUCAGCCACACUGGGACUGAGACACGGCCCAGACUCCUACGGGAGGCAGCAGUGGGGAAUUUUCCGCAAUGGGCGAAAGCCUGACGGAGCAAUACCGCGUGAGGGAGGAAGGCUCUUGGGUUGUAAACCUCUUUUCUCAAGGAAUAAGUUCUGAAGGUACUUGAGGAAUAAGCAUCGGCUAACUCCGUGCCAGCAGCCGCGGUAAUACGGAGGAUGCAAGCGUUAUCCGGAAUGAUUGGGCGUAAAGCGUCCGCAGGUGGCUAUGUAAGUCUGCUGUUAAAGAGUCUAGCUUAACUAGAUAAGAGCAGUGGAAACUACAAAGCUAGAGUGCGUUCGGGGUAGAGGGAAUUCUGGUGUAGCGGUGAAACCCCAGAGAUCAGGAAGAAC